UUCAAAAGAGCAAUUUAUACCACCAAUGACACUUUCGGUACUCUAAAAAAUGGAGAAAUGAAAAAGCGAACGUUGUACUCGCGGUAGAUGAGGGUGUGAAGUAAUGAGAAAACCAAUUGGGCUUCUACGAUGAAUAGGUAGAGAAUAGGUGUGAGGACCAACCGCAAUAUGAGUUUUUGGCAGAUGACUUCUCUAGUAACACCGUGACUCAGA
Non-coding RNA from Caenorhabditis elegans, 213 nucleotides. NCBI's taxonomy places the organism in Eukaryota, Metazoa, Nematoda, Chromadorea, Rhabditida, Rhabditidae. The record is from Ensembl.